AUGCCCCAGCGCUUAACCCUCCUCCGCCGCCUCUCCACCCACGGCGACCGCAACCUCGCCACCCUCCUCGCCGUCCUCCGCUCGCCGGAGGCCUCAUCCACGCCGCUCCCGCGCGCCCUCUCCCGCGCCUUCCCGUCCCCGUCAGACGCCUUCCCCCUCCACACGCUCCCCGACCUCCUGCCGCGCCUCCCCUCCCCGCUCCUCUCCCUCCGGUUCCUGCUCUGGCGCCUGCCCCCCUCCCCGCCGCUCCCCUCCCCGCACACCCUCUCCUCGCUCGCCGCCUCGCUCCCGGACCUCCCCUCCGCCGUGCCCCUCCUCCUCUCCUCCUCCCCGCACCCGCUGCCCCUCCCGCACUACGCCCUCCUCCUCGGCAUCUCCACUCAUGCCGGCCUUUUCCCGGUCUCACUCGCCGUCCUCCGCCACAUGCGAUCCUCCGGCCUCGCGCCCGACGUGGCCUGCUUCCACUCCGCCCUCCGCGCCGCACGCUCGCAUUGUGAUGUCUCCGCCGUUCUGGACAUCAUGUCCAGGUCCGGCGUCAACCCGACCGUCCCCCUGAUCGUGACCGCGGUGCAUAGGCUGGCGUACAGGGGCGACUUCGAAGGUGCCCGCUGUCUGAUUGACAAAAUGCCUGAGUUUGGAUGCGCGGCCAAUCUGGUGGUUUACACCGCGAUGCUCGACGGGAUGCUCGCUUUUGGUCAUGUGGAUGCCGCAGUGGGGCUGCUGGAGGAGAUGGAGGGUGGCAGACUCGGUGCUGGGUGUGUGCCCAAUGUGGUGUCCUACACAUGUUUGGCGAAAUGCCUGUGCCGAAAAGGGAGAAUGGUGGAAGCUCUGAGCGUGCUGGAUAGGAUGGUAGCUAGAGGGGUGAUGCCGAAUCGCGUUUUUGUGCGGACGCUGAUCGAUGGGUUUUGCGCGGCCAGGGGGGCUGGCUUGAUUUCCAAGGCAUAUGAUGUGGUGGAGCGUUUGGUCGUUGACGGAACUUUGUCAAGCGGGCAGUGCUAUAAUGUUCUUCUGGUAGGCUUGUCUGUGGCUGGGAUGACAAGGGAAGCUGAAGGCCUCGCGCAGAGGAUGAUGAAGGCAGGGGUGCAGCUGAGCCCGCUCGCAGGAAGUGCAAUGGCGAGGGAGCUGUGUCAGAGGAAAAUGUGGUUGCAUGCUUGCUGUUGGUUGAGACUGAUGGAUGAUAAUGGGGUGCUCUGUGAUUCUGAUGCCUAUGCUGGCGUGUUGUUGGGGCUGUGUCAGGAGGGGCAUGUCCUUGAGGCCUCGGCGUUGGCGAGGAAGGUCAUGGAUAGGGGAAUACGCAUUGACGCUUCCUGCGCUGAUUGUUUGGUGGAGUUACUGAAGCAACAUGGUGAUGAGGAGCUAGCAUCACAUGUAUUAGGAUUGAGCAGAUCCCCUGAAGUGAUGUCGCUGUGA
RNAcentral lists this ribosomal RNA (1410 nucleotides) under Triticum aestivum (bread wheat). RNAcentral describes it as "partial small subunit ribosomal RNA". The record is from RNAcentral. Lineage: Eukaryota; Viridiplantae; Streptophyta; Magnoliopsida; Poales; Poaceae.